AGAGUUUGAUCAUGGCUCAGGAUGAAUGCUGGCGGUGUGACUAAGGCAUGCAAGUCGAGCGAAUCGAUCGUUGUAGCAAUACAGUGGUCGGUUAGCGGCAAACGGGUGAGUAACACAUUGGUAACCUGCCUCCGAGACGGGCACAACAUUGCGAAAGCGAUGCUAAUUCCCGAUGGCCUCUUCGGUGAAAAUCCGAAAGAGUAAACGCCCAAAAGGCGCUCGGAGAGGGGCCUAUGGCCUAUCAGCUUGUUGGUGAGGUAAUGGCUCACCAAGGCGACGACGGGUAGCAGGCGUGAGAGCGCGACCUGCCUCAGUGGGACUGCGACACUGCCCACACUCCUACGGGAGGCUGCAGUCACGAAUAUUCCACAAUGGGGGAAACCCUGAUGGAGCGACACCGCGUGGGGGAAGAAGGCCUUCGGGUCGUAAACCCCUUUUGCACGGGACGAAGUAAUUGACGGUACCGGAGAAUAAGAG
Molecule: ribosomal RNA, 477 nt
Filed under: uncultured Dictyoglomus sp.
Lineage: Bacteria; Pseudomonadati; Dictyoglomota; Dictyoglomia; Dictyoglomales; Dictyoglomaceae
Description: bacterial SSU rRNA
Rfam family: Bacterial small subunit ribosomal RNA
Source: RNAcentral